Molecule: long non-coding RNA, 1029 nt
Filed under: Felis catus (domestic cat)
Lineage: Eukaryota; Metazoa; Chordata; Mammalia; Carnivora; Felidae
Description: lncRNA (ENSFCAG00000049318.1)
Source: RNAcentral
CUCAAUACCCAUCACCCACCCUCCCCUCCCUCCCACCCCCCAUCAACCCUCAGUUUGUUCUCAGGUUUUAAGAGUCUCUUAUGCUUUGGCUCUCUUCCACUCUAACCUCUUUUUUUUUCCUUCCCCUCCCCCAUGGGUUUCUGUUAAGUUUCUCAGGGUCCACAUAAGAGUGAACACAUAUGGUAUCUGUCUUUCUCUGUAUGGCUUAUUUCACUUAGCAUAACACUCUCCCGUUCCAUCCAUGUUGCGACAAAGGGCCAUAUUUCAUUCUUUCUCAUUGCCCUGUAGUACUCCAUUGUGUAUAUAAACCACAAUUUCUUUAUCCAUUCAUCAGUUGAUGGACAUUUAGGCUCUUUCCAUAAUUUGGCUAUUGUUGAGAGUGCUGCUAUAAACAUUGGGGUACAAGUACCCCUAUGCAUCAGUACUCCUGUAUCCCUUGGGUAAAUUCCUAGCAGUGCUAUUGCUGGGUCAUAGGGUAGGUCUAUUUUUAAUUUUUUGAGGAACCUCCACACUGUUUUCCAGAGUGGCUGCGCCAAUUUGCAUUCCCACCAACAGUGCAAGAGGGUUCCCCGUUUCUCCACAUCCUCUCCAGCAUCUGUACUCUCCUGAUUUGUUCAUUUUGGCCACUCUGAAGAAGCUCAUUUCAAUACAAUGGUUAAUUAUUCAUUUCACCAAACUAGAAUUGGGAUCCUGCAGCUUGCUAAUAAGCAGCAGCUUCUCCCGGCACAAGUCACUGUCCUCAUCAGACAAGCUGAGACCAUGCUUUGUGCCCUGCACCUAUAGUAAGAGAAAAGGUACACGGCGAGCUUUGGCCCAACAGAGUUAAGAGGAAGACUUGGGAGGGAUGGAACCUUCCAACAAGUUUGGAAGAAAGUAGAGGGAAUGCACAGAUGCCAGAUUGCCACGAAGACCCAUGGACAAUCCCGCACUCACGCUUCUCUAUCGAACUUUAAGAUUUAUUAGUAAUAUGCUGCCUUUGCAAGAUGAAAAGAAACUAAUGCCAAGAAGGCAUAUUCUUCAAUAUUUGGA